UAGGAAUCUGCCUGGUAGUGGGGGAUAACGUUCGGAAACGGACGCUAAUACCGCAUACGUCCUACGGGAGAAAGCAGGGGACCUUCGGGCCUUGCGCUAUCAGAUGAGCCUAGGUCGGAUUAGCUAGUUGGUGGGGUAAUGGCUCACCAAGGCGACGAUCCGUAACUGGUCUGAGAGGAUGAUCAGUCACACUGGAACUGAGACACGGUCCAGACUCCUACGGGAGGCAGCAGUGGGGAAUAUUGGACAAUGGGCGAAAGCCU
Molecule: ribosomal RNA, 263 nt
Filed under: Pseudomonas sp. Sy5-2
Lineage: Bacteria; Pseudomonadati; Pseudomonadota; Gammaproteobacteria; Pseudomonadales; Pseudomonadaceae
Description: partial 16S ribosomal RNA
Rfam family: Bacterial small subunit ribosomal RNA
Source: RNAcentral